GUGAGCUGUAAAUAGCUUGCUUUUGGUGUUUUAUAGUAGGUUGGGAAUGAUUUGACAAGGGAACCUUCUAUUCAAUCUUUGUUUGGUGUGCGUUGAACAGAGAAAACUUGAGUUUUGAUUUAAGUAUGAGCUCGUUCAACUGUCUAUUCCUAGGUCGCAAAAUGUGAGUUUUCGUAAGGACUGGCACCUCAAGGGUCUCAUAGCCUGCACGAUCAAUAGCCGCUGGCUUUUUAAGGCACUAACGCCAUUUGAGCCUUGCCUGUCGACUCUCUCCAUAAGUUCAUCGAGUUACUA
Molecule: unclassified non-coding RNA, 294 nt
Filed under: Hevea brasiliensis (rubber tree)
Lineage: Eukaryota; Viridiplantae; Streptophyta; Magnoliopsida; Malpighiales; Euphorbiaceae
Source: RNAcentral